Molecule: ribosomal RNA, 161 nt
Filed under: uncultured bacterium
Lineage: Bacteria
Description: partial 16S ribosomal RNA
Rfam family: Bacterial small subunit ribosomal RNA
Source: RNAcentral
GUAGUUGGUGAGGUAACUGGCCCACCAAGCCUCUGACNGUGNGUAGCUGGUUUGAGAGGAUGAUCAGCCACAUUGGUGACUGAGACACGGCCCAGACUCCUACGGGAGGCAGCAUGCAGUGGAAUUUNUUGCGCAAUGGGCUGAAAGCCUGACGCAGCAAC